This 334-nucleotide long non-coding RNA is filed under the name Spirodela polyrhiza (greater duckweed). Its description in RNAcentral is "long non-coding RNA (SPOL_LNC001271)". Lineage: Eukaryota; Viridiplantae; Streptophyta; Magnoliopsida; Alismatales; Araceae. The record is from RNAcentral.
GACGGCGGAACGCUGUUCGCCCCACCGAGCUGUUGAUGCUGCCCAGUUGGUGAGGGUCUGCCUGAGUUGAUCCCGAAAGAUAUCUGCGACUGGUUCCCCACGUUUGAGAGGAUCGACUGGGGAGGAGCCCUCCCUUGCUGCUGAGGCAGGUGGUUCUUGGCGGCGGGGGAGUUGGCGUUCGGAGGGGGAGUUGACAUGGCGGCCGUUGAGCCGGUUCUAGCAGAGUUCUUCCACUGCCCCGACUGGGUGGGGUUGUUGUUGCCUUGGAUGAGCGCCUGGGGAAUGCCAGAGAGAGCAUUGGGGAGCUUGGACAUCGCCGCCCCACCUGGCAUCC